RNAcentral lists this ribosomal RNA (492 nucleotides) under uncultured bacterium. RNAcentral's name for it is "partial 16S ribosomal RNA". It matches the Rfam family "Bacterial small subunit ribosomal RNA", at positions 29 to 507 of the family's 1533-position model. The record is from RNAcentral.
AGUGAACGCUGGCGGUAGGCCUAACACAUGCAAGUCGAACGGCAGCACAGUAAGAGCUUGCUCUUACGGGUGGCGAGUGGCGGACGGGUGAGGAAUACAUCGGAAUCUACUUUUUCGUGGGGGAUAACGUAGGGAUACUUACGCUAAUACCGCAUACGACCUACGGGUGAAAGCAGGGGAUCUUCGGACCUUGCGCGAUUGAAUGAGCCGAUGUCAGAUUAGCUAGUUGGCGGGGUAAAGGCCCACCAAGGCGACGAUCCGUAGCUGGUCUGAGAGGAUGAUCAGCCACACUGGAACUGAGACACGGUCCAGACUCCUACGGGAGGCAGCAGUGGGGAAUAUUGGACAAUGGGCGCAAGCCUGAUCCAGCCAUACCGCGUGGGUGAAGAAGGCCUUCGGGUUGUAAAGCCCUUUUGUUGGGAAAGAAAAGCAGCAGGUUAAUACCCCGCUGUUCUGACGGUACCCAAAGAAUAAGCACCGGCUAACUUCGUG